CCUGCGGUUUAAUUGGACUCAACGCCGGGCAGCUCACCGGAUAAGGACAGCUGGAUGAUAGCCGGGCUGAAGACUCUGCUUGACUAGCUGAGAGGAGGUGCAUGGCCGUCGUCAGUUCGUACUGUGAAGCAUCCUGUUAAGUCAGGCAACGAGCGAGACCCACGCCAACAGUUGCCAGCAUGUCCUCCGGGAUGAUGGGGACACUGUUGGGACCGCCUCUGCUAAAGAGGAGGAAGGAAUGGGCAACGGUAGGUCAGCAUGCCCCGAAUUAUCCGGGCUACACGCGGGCUACAAUGGUCAGGACAAUGGGUAUCGACACCGAGAGGUGGAGGCAAUCUCCUAAACCUGUCCUUAGUUCGGAUUGAGGGCUGCAACUCGCCCUCAUGAAGCUGGAAUCCGUAGUAAUCGCGUUUCAACAGAACGCGGUGAAUACGUCCCUGCUCCUU
This 446-nucleotide ribosomal RNA is filed under the name uncultured Methanolinea sp. RNAcentral's name for it is "bacterial SSU rRNA". It matches the Rfam family "Archaeal small subunit ribosomal RNA", at positions 894 to 1338 of the family's 1478-position model. Lineage: Archaea; Methanobacteriati; Methanobacteriota; Methanomicrobia; Methanomicrobiales; Methanoregulaceae. The record is from RNAcentral.